Molecule: ribosomal RNA, 492 nt
Filed under: uncultured bacterium
Lineage: Bacteria
Description: partial 16S ribosomal RNA
Rfam family: Bacterial small subunit ribosomal RNA
Source: RNAcentral
AGUGAACGCUGGCGGUAGGCCUAACACAUGCAAGUCGAACGGCAGCACAGUAAGAGCUUGCUCUUACGGGUGGCGAGUGGCGGACGGGUGAGGAAUACAUCGGAAUCUACUUUUUCGUGGGGGAUAACGUAGGGAAACUUACGCUAAUACCGCAUACGACCUACGGGUGAAAGCAGGGGAUCUUCGGACCUUGCGCGAUUGAAUGAGCCGAUGUCGGAUUAGCUAGUUGGCGGGGUAAAGGCCCACCAAGGCGACGAUCCGUAGCUGGUCUGAGAGGAUGAUCAGCCACACUGGAACUGAGACACGGUCCAGACUCCUACGGGAGGCAGCAGUGGGGAAUAUUGGACAAUGGGCGCAAGCCUGAUCCAGCCAUACCGCGUGGGUGAAGAAGGCCUUCGGGUGUUAAAGCCCUUUUGUUGGGAAAGAAAAGCAGCAGGUUAAUACCCCGCUGUUCUGACGGUACCCAAAGAAUAAGCACCGGCUAACUUCGUG